GUAGUCCACGCCGUAAACGAUGUCAACUAGUUGUUCGUGUCAUUAAGACGUGAGUAACGCAGCUAACGCACUAAGUUGACCGCCUGGGGAGUACGGCCGCAAGGUUAAAACUCAAAUGAAUUGACGGGGGCCCGCACAAGCGGUGGAGCAUGUGGUUUAAUUCGAUGCAACGCGAAGAACCUUACCAUCCCUUGACAUCCAGUGAAUUUUUCAGAGAUGAAUUAGUGCCUUCGGGAACACUGAGACAGGUGCUGCAUGGCUGUCGUCAGCUCGUGUUGUGAGAUGUUGGGUUAAGUCCCGCAACGAGCGCAACCCUUAUCCUUAGUUGCCAGCACGUAA
Molecule: ribosomal RNA, 339 nt
Filed under: Idiomarina sp.
Lineage: Bacteria; Pseudomonadati; Pseudomonadota; Gammaproteobacteria; Alteromonadales; Idiomarinaceae
Description: bacterial SSU rRNA
Rfam family: Bacterial small subunit ribosomal RNA
Source: RNAcentral